AUGCAGUACCCAGAAGCUUUGGGCUGGGAGAGCAGAAGCCACUCUGGGCGGUUCAAGCAGCAAACGAACAAGGAGGCUGAGUACAUAGCUCAGUGGUCCAAGGGCCCGGCUAAGCAGGCCUGGGACCCUCCCACAGCCCAGUGCUGCAAAAGAAAUCAAACAAACAGAAAACUAACAAGGGUGCUCUUGCGCCAGCCUGCAUCUGGGCUGUCUCCUCCAGAGCCCAGCAGGGGUGAGGAGACCUUGCCACCAGGACUCUCCCCAACCAGCUCCCCUGAGGCAGGAGCGGUGCCUGUCUCUGUGCAUCCCUCAGUGCCAAGCAUCCUAACGCAACCCACAAGCACCAGCAGAUGCUCAAUACUUGGGCACAAUGAGCCCAAGCAGUGGUUGUUUACUAAUGGCCUGUGACAAGAACGUAGUGGUACCUGGGUCUACGACUUUAAUUCUUUCCCUGAUUCUGGUUGCACCUGAAUUGUAAGCAUAUAUUCGGUUGCAACCAGAAUCAUGGAAAGAAUUAAGUUCAUGAACUGAGGCACAGCUGUGCCUAGCAACUGGCCCAUGCAGGGAAGCUAUCUGCCCCAUCCAAGCUUCGAAGAUGAGACACCCAAUAAAUACUUGCUGAAUGAAUAAACUCCUGGCUGUCCUGAUGUGUGGCUCCACGCCCUCCUCUCCCACUGGAGACAACAAAUCAGAGUGCAGUGCGAGAAAAAUGGCAUUAUUAAAGGCACAUCAGUGAGUCAUUUGAAAGAUCCACCCUUUAUUACAUGCCAUAAAUUACUGGACAUGGACCUCAAGACUGAUGAUCACAUGCAAUGGGGAGAGACAGUGGUUGAGAACAGCUGAUUUAGACAAAGCUAAGAAAUACGAAGCACUUUCUGCUCUUACUACUUUCCAGAAGAUGAAGAUGACAGUAAGUUCGGGAAGAAUUAAUAACUGAAUCACCCCACAUCUCCUUUCAUAAAACAGAUUUUUGUGCAUCCCAGGAGAAAUGCUUGUUUAAAUCAAAGUGUUAGAAAUUCUUUUUCACAGUUAUUUCUUCCCAAACCAGUGAGGCCCACAGGUAGUCACUAUCGCCAUUCAAAAGCCAGCCUAUAGCACACUUGCUUCACAGAGGCCCCUUGGGCACUCCAAGUGUGACCAAGCAGACCCCCAAAUAUGGCAAUUGCUACGUCUUAUUUUGUUUUGGUCAUUUGUGUCUAUUUUAUCUUUUGGGUAAGACACGCCUGCCAGUUUUAUUCUUGUUUAUAGAAGGCGACCCUAAAUACCAAUCACAUGAUGAAAUACAUCCCAAAACGAAAAGUCCUAAUAAAGGUUUCAGUCUUGGUAUGUUGAAGCGAGAAACAAAUCUGAGAAAGCCAGAAAGCCAGAAGCCACGAAACCACAGGGACAGCCACACACUCCAAACAAGGCUAAAGUUAGUAAAGGAAAAUAUAGCAACCCACAGCCAGUAACAUCAGAACCCUGAAUAGCCUAGGGAACCAGCCACUCCGUCCACACAAUCACAUCUGAGCUCUUCACCCCACAUACAGGGGAACGCAAGGAUUUGGUCUUACGCUUUUAAAUGAAUUUAAAAAACUUUUGGUCUAUUGAGUAUACCAGUGUUUGGAAUAUUUGGGCCCAAAUUAGAGUGAAGCAUGAGAAAAGGCAGUGUAUCAGGGUGUAUUUUAAACUUCAUUAUUACAACUAAAGGGAGGAGCAAUGAAGCCAAAAUCCCAAGGGCACAACAGAAAGAGCAUAGGGAACUGGAAGCUGCUUUAAAGAUGAAUAAAUAAAGACCACAAGGUCUUGAACAACAGUUCUCUCUGUCCUGUCGGACAGGGUAGCUGUGGUCCCCAAGACAGCAAGGCAGGUGCCUGCCCCUCCGCCACACUCUAUCUCUUCCCAGGAAGAGUCUGCAUCUUCUGGUCAUAUCCUGAAACCCUUGUUCCUAGAAGCUCUUAGGCUCUCUGGGCCGAGGACCCCUCUGCCGGUCUGACGAGGCUCCCUGAACCCAAGCAGAGAAAUGUUUCCAACAUAUAAACUACAAAGGGUCACUCACCAGCAACUGAGUUGUAUGUAGUUAUCAAAUGAGCUCCAAAUCUACAUGUACUUCUGUACUAGAGCAUCAUGUAAAGCUCUAGCAGGGAUCUUCUUGUUUCCUUCACUUAACUGAAUGAAAUGAACUAAAUUCCAGUUCGAGUAGUGUAAAAAUGAAGACAUACUUUUUCCCCACCCAGGUUUGUGGAAUCCACCUGUAGGCUCUAGUUUAAGAGCCCCUGGUUGACAGAGCCAAUAAAAAUACAUUUUGUAAAGCACCAAAUGAAAAAUAAAACGCAUUGCCCAUUCAACUGCAAGACAAGAACUAAGAGAGCGAGCACUAUUUUUCAAAACCCAAGACGGGCCUCCUUUACUUGGCAGGAGAGGGGCAGGCUUGACACCGACUGUAGAAGGCACUGGAGGGGGCGUGGGCAGCUCUCUGGGGUUCAGCCUCCCUGGAGACAGGGUGCACAGGGACCCAGCUCAGCCCUACGGCAAUUGGGCACAAAUCUCCUCCUCCUAGGAGUCCUGUCCUUCUUCCUCGAUAAAAUAAAAUAAAAUAAACUAUGCACCUAGCCCCUAGGCCCUUCCAGUCCUCAACUCUAUCAUCACAUCAUCUCCUCCUUGUGGUAGUUCUUUCAGUCUAUUUAGCUUCACUUCAAAGUAUCAUUGCCUUUCUGAAACAGAACAACAAGUGUUACCCAACUGGAAUGUUCUCAUGUACAACCUAACACCAGGGAGUCCUUAGAAUUGUUUCAAGCCUGUUUAGUGCACAGCUCCUCCCUAAGAAGCAACUCAAGCAUUGGUCUUUUCUGCCACUGAGACACCAGAUGCAAGCACAUUUGAAUUCUAGCACUAUCACAAUCAAUAGAUGUCAAGCUACUUAGAAUCUGUAAUUUAACUAUACAUCUCCCACAUCUGAGCCAAUGAACACAGUUAAGAGUGUAGGCCAAGGGUUCUUGAUGACUACCUAACCUAGAUGUUUUCUGGUGCUGCUAAAGAAAGAACUAUGCCAAAAUGGGGCUGGGGAUUUAGCUCAGCAGCAAAAGCGCCUGCCUGGCAAGCGCAAGGUCAUGAGUUCGGUUCCCGGUACCAGAGAAAAACCAAAAAAAAAAAAGAACUAUGCCAAAAUCACAAAGCCAGUCAACGAGGCAGGACAUGAACUAGGUCCCUCAACUGCAAACACACCCUCUUCUCACUCCACUGAAUUGGCUCCCAAAUCCUGAGGCACUUUCCCAAUUUUAAAAUGUUAUUAAACUUAAAAUUAAAAGCACAUUUAAAAUUAAAAUGAGGACCUAAUGAUUAGACUGGUUAUUUUUUUUUCCUUACUAUCAAUUAUUAAGGAGCACAACAUAGACUGGCGGCUAUGACACACUAACUGGCUGGAAUUAAGAAAUAAUUUAAAUUUCAAUAAUCUGUCAGAAAGCAAUGACCCCACUAAAGUCCUAACUAUGGGACUGUCUCUUAAUAUUCAUGCAAACACAUGAAAAGCUGUAGAAACAUUUAUGCGUGGAUACAAACGUCUACCAACUUUUCAGUCUGCUCUGCAGAAUUUUCUAAUAACAUUUUACUAUGAAACUCAGAAGACAGCAAAAAAGACAGUCACACAGCAGUGAAAACAAACCAACCAUGUAUUUUACAAGUAAGCAAAAGAGAUUCUAUCAAUAUCAAACACAGGGCAUUUUUUGACUUCCAGGAAAAAUGCAUUAAGAAGAAAGUCUUGUGCACAGCAUCUUCUUACUACCAUUUACCUCCUAGGGUCAGACAGCAAGUUUGACAGUAAGUUCUGUUUGAAUGUUAUUGUUGCUUUAAGAGAGAAGGCACUGUCUCCAGGUGAAGGCUGCAAUAUGAUCCCAGUAGGGCCUCUAGGAUUUACCUACCUAUUCACUCUUUCACCUGCACUCUUUGAGGUGUCCAAUAUUGCUAAAAAGUCAGAAACCUACUCCCAAAAAAGAUCACAAUUCAAGUAUUCAAAAGCUAGACUAGCGUAUUCUAUUCACAUUUUACUUCCUGGGAGACCAGCCCUGACCUACUUGAAGAAAGCAAUCCCCACUUACAGCACUCUUUGUCCACGUUAACCAACUUCCGUUGAGAGCUUGGCAGCACCUGAUAUUCCAUUUAUUAUUCAUUUACGUAUGGAUUUCUGUUUAUGUCUGCCACUCCACACUAAAACCAACGGUCCUGGUUAGCUGCCGACUUCUCAAUACCCAAAUCCAGCUGGCACAUAGUAGGUGGCAAUGCCAUCAUCCUUGGUGUCUCCUCAAAAAGCAUUAAGCGUUGGGCAGGGCACGUGUCACCAGCAAUCUAUUGACACAGCUUAGGACAUUGGGGCAGAGGAGGGCUAAGUCCUUCUCCUGACUUUGGAAUGCCCUGCACAAACAUCUCAACACGACUGCCUCAAAAGGAAAUCAUGAAAUAAAGUUCUGGCACAAGUUCAUCUUCCGUGUCAAGUUCAGCGCGUUAAGACACUUUAAAGCUGGCCACACAAACAAAACCAAACUCUGCAAAAUGAGGCUGGGCUACAGUUACAUAAGACAGACUUGACCCCUGGCUUUCCGCCCUGCCGUGCCCCUCUCCCCAGAGAACACAGACAGGGUCCUUCCCCGCAGUUCCCACGCAGGAGAGAAAAUCGCCCAUCUGCAGACCCUUCAAGUCCUAGUCCUCCAGCAACAUGACCAGGAGACAGCGUGCGGCUCCCCCAGCCUCCCCAGCAACUCUUCCACCAGUUCUAAGGGGCACUCAGCAGCCGUCCGAUCGCCUCUUUCCAAGUUCGUCGCCCUGGCCCGCAGACGCGCCGAGCCCACCCACGGGCACCCACGGCCCCAGCCGGCCGGGACCAAGGCGGGAGCGGUGCGGGCAGCAGACGCGAGCCACAGAAGCGGCCCAAGCCCGAAUCGCCGCUCCCGGGCUCCCGCACCCCUGCACCCGUCGCCCCCGGAGCUCCUCGGGCUAUUAGGGAACAAUGGGGCUGUCACGCGGGGCUGGGAGCGGGUGAGGUCCGACUGCGCCCUUCAGCGAGUGUGGUCCCGGUCCGCAACCCCGGCCUGCGGCGGCGCGGGAGCGCGGUCAGGGCUGGGAAGAGGACCCGGGGUGUCGGGGGAGGGGGCAGAUGUGGAGGAUCGGGCCGGGACCGGGGUGC
Molecule: long non-coding RNA, 5155 nt
Organism: Chinchilla lanigera (long-tailed chinchilla)
Lineage: Eukaryota; Metazoa; Chordata; Mammalia; Rodentia; Chinchillidae
Source: Ensembl